CCUACGGGUGGCAGCAGUGAGGAAUAUUGGUCAAUGGUCGGAAGGCUGAACCAGCCAAGCCGCGUGAAGGACGAAGGUGCCAAGUAUCGUAAACUUCUUUUGUCAAGGGACAAAAUCAGGCUCGCGUGCCUGGCCGAGGGUACUUGAAGAAAAAGCAUCGGCUAACUCCGUGCCAGCAGCCGCGGUAAUACGGAGGAUGCGAGCGUUAUCCGGAUUUAUUGGGCGUAAAGCGCUCGUAGGCGGUAUGUCAAGUCAAGGGUUAAAGCCCCGCGCUCAACGUGGGAACUGCCUUUGAAACUGGCAGACUUGAGUGUGUGAGAGGAAAGUGGAAUUCCAGGUGUAGGAGUGAAAUCCGUAGAUAUCGGGAGGAACAUCAGUGGCGAAGGCGACUAUCUGGCACAUAACUGACGCUGAGGAGCGAAAGCGUGGGUAGCAAACAGGAUUAGAUACCCCUGUAGUC
RNAcentral lists this ribosomal RNA (460 nucleotides) under uncultured bacterium. RNAcentral describes it as "partial 16S ribosomal RNA". It matches the Rfam family "Bacterial small subunit ribosomal RNA", at positions 338 to 795 of the family's 1533-position model. The record is from RNAcentral.